RNAcentral lists this ribosomal RNA (254 nucleotides) under uncultured bacterium. RNAcentral's name for it is "partial 16S ribosomal RNA". It matches the Rfam family "Bacterial small subunit ribosomal RNA", at positions 524 to 776 of the family's 1533-position model. The record is from RNAcentral.
UACAGAGGGGGCAAGCGUUGUUCGGAAUUACUGGGCGUAAAGGGCGCGUAGGCGGCCUCUGCAAGUCGACUGUGAAAUCUCCGGGCUUAACCCGGAAAGGUCAGCCGAUACUGCAGGGCUAGAGUGCAGAAGGGGCAACUGGAAUUCUCGGUGUAGCGGUGAAAUGCGUAGAUAUUGGGAGGAACACCAGUGGCGAAGGCGGCUCACUGGACCGGAACUGACGCUGAGGCGCGAAAGCGUGGGGAGCAAACAGG